AUUCUGUUGUAGCAACACAAAACAAACUAAGACAGGUACCAUCUGCAAACUCCCCUACAAAUACUUUUAAAUUGCCCAUGCAUUACUAAACUCUGGUAAGAUCAGAUUUAUUUGGAGAAAACAGAAAUCCCACAACCCAAAGGAUGGGAUUUUACAUCAAGACAUCUCCCAGGUAAUAAGUCUACAGAUUACAAAUCAUUUUCAUAGAAGAUAUUUUUGUACAAGUUUUACAUGUAUUCAGGAGCGGGACGUUAAUCAAUCCCUGUUUCUAUUUUAAUAGGGGGGAUAAGGUAGGGGAGAGGGAGAAACAGUUUUGGAUAUAACUAUUUGGAAGGAGAGUAGACAUGAAGAGGGCAAACCCUAGCUUUUCAUUUUCUACAAU
Molecule: long non-coding RNA, 382 nt
Filed under: Homo sapiens (human)
Lineage: Eukaryota; Metazoa; Chordata; Mammalia; Primates; Hominidae
Description: HSALNT0111823
Source: RNAcentral